AUGCCAUAUACUUCAGUUUACUCAAAUUCACGUAGUGAAGACGAUUUGUAAUGAAGCUGGAGCAGGCAAAUAACCCAUUGGAGAAACAAGUCAAAGAAGGGUCGUAUAAAUUUCCGAACAACCUCUGGAAGAAUGUUAGCAGUGAAGCUAAGGAUCUUAUAACAAAACUGCUUACUGUUGGUCACAGAAAAUGCAUCACGGUUUCAGAAGCUCUGGAACAUCCUUGGAUGAAGGAUAAAGAAAUGAUAGAAAAAGCAGAAAAA
Molecule: long non-coding RNA, 263 nt
Filed under: Dendronephthya gigantea
Lineage: Eukaryota; Metazoa; Cnidaria; Anthozoa; Malacalcyonacea; Nephtheidae
Description: uncharacterized LOC114544339, transcript variant X2
Source: RNAcentral